GCCCCCAUCGUCCAGCGGCCUAGGACGCCGGCCUUUCACGCCGGUAACACGGGUUCGAAUCCCGUUGGGGGUG
Molecule: transfer RNA, 73 nt
Filed under: Acidimicrobiaceae bacterium
Lineage: Bacteria; Bacillati; Actinomycetota; Acidimicrobiia; Acidimicrobiales; Acidimicrobiaceae
Also listed under: 4 other names
Description: tRNA-Glu
Rfam family: tRNA
About the family: Transfer RNA (tRNA) molecules are approximately 80 nucleotides in length. Their secondary structure includes four short double-helical elements and three loops (D, anti-codon, and T loops).
Source: RNAcentral